UGGGGAAUCUUGCGCAAUGGGCGAAAGCCUGACGCAGCAACGCCGCGUGCGGGAUGAAGGCUCUCGGGUUGUAAACCGCUUUCAGCAGGAACGAAAAUGACGGUACUUGCAGAAGAAGGUGCGGCCAACUAUGUGCCAGCAGCCGCGGUGAUACAUAGGCACCAAGCGUUGUCCGGAUUUAUUGGGCGUAAAGAGCUCGUAGGUGGUUCGGUAAGUCGGGUGUGAAAACUUUGGGCUCAACCCAAAGCCUGCAUCCGAUACUGCUGUGACUAGAGUUCGGUAGGGGAGCGGGGAAUUCCUAGUGUAGCGGUGAAAUGCGCAGAUAUUAGGAGGAACACCGGUGGCGAAGGCGCCGCUCUGGGCCGAUACUGACACUGAGGAGC
This 383-nucleotide ribosomal RNA is filed under the name uncultured bacterium. RNAcentral's name for it is "bacterial SSU rRNA". It matches the Rfam family "Bacterial small subunit ribosomal RNA", at positions 355 to 754 of the family's 1533-position model. The record is from RNAcentral.